This 1513-nucleotide long non-coding RNA is filed under the name Mus musculus (house mouse). RNAcentral's name for it is "RIKEN cDNA E130008D07 gene". The record is from RNAcentral. Lineage: Eukaryota; Metazoa; Chordata; Mammalia; Rodentia; Muridae.
AAUAAAAUCGUUUCCUCCUGAAAAUGCCCAUCUCGGAACCUUGGCUGUGCCCCGAGGGAGGCACCGGAAUGGCAAAAGUGAGGACAUACGGCUGCCAGCAUCGUCUAUGCUCUAGAUAGGGGUCAAAUGUCAACUUUCUGCCAGGUCCAGCCCGGAUGUGAGGGCUGUGAAGGCAACAACCAAGGAACCAUUCCUUCGGAUGGAAGUCCUAUGGCAGAGAGAAGCUGAUGUUUGAAUUUUCCUGUAGAGCCCUUGAGGUUCCAUGAAUCAGUCUGGGAAGGAUGCAGGUUAAGUGGGAAGCAGAAGCCCUCAAUCACGUGAUGACGGAAAAGCCGAAAAGGCUGGGUUAUACCCUUAGGAAACCUAUUUGUUUCUUGGCUCCCUGCAGGGGCAUGCACACUAGCAAAGGCUCAAUCCCUUCAUUAUUCAUUUGAUCACAAAAGAAGGAAUGAGAGGAAAAAUACUUUUAUUUUUCACCAAGCAAUCACCAAGCGCAGUCUCAACGAAGAGCCCCUCCUUCUUUCAUGUCUUCUUUUGUGUGUGACUUACUCAGUCUAAGGUAAAGGAACCCAAGCUGGGCCCAAUGCCAAGUGCACUUCUUCAAUGUUACAUUCUGGGACAGGAGAGAGGAUCACUGGUUGAGCCUACCUACUCUGUGGACACAUUGUAAUCCUGAAACUGUUCUGAGCUUCCAUUCAUGGCCAGGACACCUGAUCACUUCAUCGUUGGGUUCUGUGUUUGAAAACUGGGCCAGCUCUGAACCUGGGUGACAGAACACACUGUGGAGAAACCUUGUCUCUAGGAUCUUGCUCAUACACUCUUGGCUCCUCUUGCUCUGGUGGAGCUCCUCAGUGCCCACUGGGAAAGUGAUCUGGCUCCCAAGACCACCAGCCUGUUCAAGUCAUGGAUGGCACCAGUUUUCACAGGCUGAGUGAUUAGAAAACAGACUCUGGGACAGCUGUGUACAUAAGAGUCAUCUGGGCAUUGCUCUUACAAUCCCUGUAGAAGACAAGAGCUCAGCAGUUGAUGGUCAGCCUUAGACCAACAGAACCUGACCGUGGGGCACAUGCGAGAUGGAUGGAAAGGAGCCUACUAUGGGUGUCACUCUUCUCAUGACAGAGGGCAAACACCUAAUAGGAGGACCAACUUGAGUCAUGGAGGGUUUGCACGAGGUUCAGAGGAUAAAGUCGAUCACCGCCAUGAGAAACACAUGGAAACAGAACCAGUCCGUUAUGACAACGGGAGUGUGAGAUAGCUUGCUCACAUGUGACUGGAUCUGGAAACAGAGCAACCAGGACAGAAUCAGAGGCGAUCCGUAACCCUCAAGUUUCAUCCCUAUGCCCCACCAACUAUGAAUGAGACUGUGUGUCUGUCCAACCUCCUGAAAGAGUGCUACCAGCUGGGGACCAAGUAAUCAAGCAUGUGAGCUUCUAGGGGACAUUUCACAUCCAAGCCAUAAGCCUAAUUUAAAGAACCCUAAUUGUGUACAUUUAUGACAUCCCCCAUCUGGCUG